This 292-nucleotide ribosomal RNA is filed under the name uncultured bacterium. RNAcentral describes it as "partial 16S ribosomal RNA". RNAcentral also lists the same sequence under 1 other name. The record is from RNAcentral.
GGACUACCCGGGUAUCUAAUCCCGUUUGCUCCCCUGGCCUUCGUGCCUCAGCGUCAGGAACUCUCCAGAAACCCGCCUUCGCCACUGGUCUUCCUCACGAUAUCUACGCAUUUCACUGCUACACCGUGAAUUCCAGUUUCCUCUAGAGUCCUCUAGCACCACAGUAUCGAAUGCAGUUUCAGGGUUGAGCCCCGAGAUUUCACAUCCGACUUAUGGCGCCGCCUACGCACCCUUUACGCCCAAUGAAUCCGAACAACGCUUGGGACCUCUGUAUUACCGCGGCUGCUGGCAC